CGGAACACGUGUGCAACCUGCCUUUAUCUGGGGGAUAGCCUUUCGAAAGGAAGAUUAAUACCCCAUAAUAUACUGGAUGGCAUCAUUCGGUAUUGAAAACUCCGGUGGAUAGAGAUGGGCACGCGCAAGAUUAGAUAGUUGGUGAGGUAACGGCUCACCAAGUCUACGAUCUUUAGGGGGCCUGAGAGGGUGAUCCCCCACACUGGUACUGAGACACGGACCAGACUCCUACGGGAGGCAGCAGUGAGGAAUAUUGGACAAUGGGUGAGAGCCUGAUCCAGCCAUCCCGCGUGAAGGACGACGGCCCUAUGGGUUGUAAACUUCUUUUGUAUAGGGAUAAACCUACCCUCGUGAGGGUAGCUGAAGGUACUAUACGAAUAAGCACCGGCUAACUCCGUGCCAGCAGCCGCGGUAAUACGGAGGGUGCAAGCGUUAUCCGGAUUUAUUGGGUUUAAAGGGUCCGUAGGCGGAUCUGUAAGUCAGUGGUGAAAUCUCACAGCUUAACUGUGAAACUGCCAUUGAUACUGCAGGUCUUGAGUGUUGUUGAAGUAGCUGGAAUAAGUAGUGUAGCGGUGAAAUGCAUAGAUAUUACUUAGAACACCAAUUGCGAAGGCAGGUUACUAAGCAACAACUGACGCUGAUGGACGAAAGCGUGGGGAGCGAACAGGAUUAGAUACCCUGGUAGUCCACGCCGUAAACGAUGCUAACUCGUUUUUGGAAUGUAAGUUUCAGAGACUAAGCGAAAGUGAUAAGUUAGCCACCUGGGGAGUACGAACGCAAGUUUGAAACUCAAAGGAAUUGACGGGGGCCCGCACAAGCGGUGGAUUAUGUGGUUUAAUUCGAUGAUACGCGAGGAACCUUACCAAGGCUUAAAUGGGAAAUGACAGGUUUAGAAAUAGACUUUUCUUCGGACAUUUUUCAAGGUGCUGCAUGGUUGUCGUCAGCUCGUGCCGUGAGGUGUUAGGUUAAGUCCUGCAACGAGCGCAACCCCUGUCACUAGUUGCCAUCAUUAAGUUGGGGACUCUAGUGAGACGGCCUACGCAAGUAGAGAGGAAGGUGGGGAUGAUGUCAAAUCAUCACGGCCCUUACGCCUUGGGCCACACACGUAAUACAAUGGCCGGUACAGAGGGCAGCUACACUGCGAAGUGAUGCAAAUCUCGAAAGCCGGUCUCAGUUCGGAUUGGAGUCUGCAACUCGACUCUAUGAAGCUGGAAUCGCUAGUAAUCGCGCAUCAGCCAUGGCGCGGUGAAUACGUUCCCGGGCCUUGUACACACCCCCCGUCA
Molecule: ribosomal RNA, 1283 nt
Filed under: bacterium E2-56
Lineage: Bacteria
Description: bacterial SSU rRNA
Rfam family: Bacterial small subunit ribosomal RNA
Source: RNAcentral